AUCAUAUAUAUUUGAAAUUUCUUUCCUUAGGCUACAUACAGUCACUUAGAUUGCUGUUUUCAGCUUUUAAUAAUCUAAUUUGUUUUUUACCAAUAGAAAUGGUCCUUUUAAUUUUUACAGAUUACUCUAUUUGAUCAGAGGAAGCAGAAGUCUCACUUUUCCCUAGGGUUUCCUAUCUUUUAGUACCUUUUGUUGUUGUCAUGAAGCUGGAGACACUGACCAGAGUUAUAUUACAUGCGGUGCAGUACACAGGACAAAAUUGCAUUUAGAUUUUUCACUGUCACCUUCAAGUCUUCAGUUAUCAACCUAUGCUGCAAUGCUUAGCUUGGAAGCACAGCAGUGAAUUUCAAUGACUUGUUUAAAAAUAGAUAUUUUCCAUGGAUUAUUUAAAAAUACUGCACUGAGCUUUUGACAAAACUUGGAGUUUGAGAUUUCAUCAUGGACAGAUUCACAACGGCAGAGUGUUUUAAGAACUUUGUAACUGAAACUAUUUUUGUUUCCUAGCAGCUCUUAUAGGUAUGCAGGGUAUGAAACAAGUACUAAAAGUGGUUUGAUGAUGAGCUGAUGUGGAUAUGUGACUGUGCCAGGAACCCUGCCCCACUAAUAGCUUGUUCCAGCAGUGGAACAAAUGGUUUUGUAGCAAGUCCUUCAGGUAGAGUGCUUCCCCAGACUGGUCUGUCCUUGCUGAUUUUGUUUCUAUCAGUUCACUGUUGCACUAGCAUGGUGGAAGACCUUGCCUUUCUGUGCUUUUUUGGAAGAGAACAUUGAACAGAGAACAGUAGUCACAAGGAUCAGUUCACAACAGCCUAGCAGCUUCCUUCGUAAUGCAAUUGUGGCAGCAUUGGAAGUAUAUUGACAAAUAGUUCUGAAGGAUACUGAAAGCGGUGAGUGCAGUCUGCAAUGCCUGGCAUGAUCAAAACAGAGAGAGAUCAGUGAUGAGAGGGAACUGUUGGCUGACUCUGUCAUAGCAUGUAGAAACUCCACAUCUCUGAAUUUUGUUGGAUUAGUACAUGCAUUUCUUACACAUCAAAUCCUACUCUCUCCAUUUCUCUCAACUGUCACUGAGGCAGGGUGUUAAGAAUGAACUUUAGAAUUUGGCCCUUGAUCAACGUGAUGGCUUGGCUGGGAUUUGAAGUCUCAUAUCUCCUUGCCAAUCCCAAAUGUGCCCAAAAUAUAUUCCAAGCAAAAAUGAUCCUACUAUUACCUCAAUCUGAAGCACAGUUCUGCCUUUUUUUUUUUUCCUACCCAUUUGAAAGUAUGCAUGUGCUUGCUUUGAGGUCUAUCCCAUAGUUUCCUGCACUAUGAACUUAAGAGCCCUUUUACUUCUAUUGUGUUUAUCCUGGUGCAUCCUGCAUGAGGUAGGAGCCUGGUGCUUAAGCAAUUCUGAAAUAAAUGGAAGUUUUACAGUACUUGCUACUUUCCACAGACAAGAAAAUUUUGCAGAAUCAGGUCCUUUGAUGCUUGUUUAUGCAUUCCUUGUGCUCUCAUACUUCAUUCUACCAGAUGGGUAGAUAAUGUCCUUAAAUUUUGGCUGAAUGGAUCAUAAAUACCCUAAAUUUGGAUCCUGGAGGAUGCCUUACCCCAGUAUCCCAGUGGAAAACUGUGCAAAGACAUGAUCACCAUAAAACUGAGGGCUGCACAGCCAGAAAGGAUGCAAAUCCCACAAUAAGACAAUCUUUCCCUGUCUAUAAAAAUUCUGUCAUAUUAAUGCAGGAUGCAUAAUUCCAAAGGGCUUGUCAGACUACCCAAGGCCAAGCAUAUGCAACGCUAAGAAUUAUAACAGACCUCGGAUAUUCUCGCUACAUUUCACAAUAGGUGUCUGAUGUGUCUGAAACCUGACAGCUGUCAGGGUCUCCUUGAUAGAACCAGCACAGAUCAUUAAUAACUCGUAUUAUGUGUACCUCUUAGUCUCGUAUUAUGUGUACCACAUUCUUUAUUGUUCUAUUCAACAACAAAAAUAAAAUAAAGAAAAACUGACUGAAUGAAUUCAAGGGAAAAAACUAAUUAUGGUAAAGUUAUCCACUAUUUUGCCCAUAUAUAUUGCAAAGUCUCACUUUUGCUGUCCUUGGCUGAAAGGGCAGUUGCUGCCUUCACUGUCUUUUUUCAGAUUUAAGGUGCAGUGACAACACUUUUUGAUCAGCUCACCAGGCAAUAACAUAAUAUCUGUUACUUCUGACUCAGCAAUGAGGGCCAUAGGCCAAGAAAUUGUUUUUUUUUUUUUCGUGAAUAAACAUUUGUCAUCUGGCAGUCUAGGAAGGGUAAAUUUCAUGGCUAUCUUUAGGUAUGUCCGUGUUAAACUGACCUCAGUUGUACAUAACUGGAUGUGUUUCUUCUGGCAAGUGCCCAUUCAUCAACAAGUUCCAGUGCUUGAAAUUUCAUAUGGAAGAAGCAAAAAAAAUCAGUUUUGUCAAAACUUGCUACUCUAAAAUUGAACAUUUAUUUCAAUUUCCGUUGAAAAUUGAAAAAUACUGCUGAUUUUUACUGAUAACUAGCCAGAAUCUUUGAGGCACUUAAUCAGAUCAUGUACCCAUGGCCAAAUUGUCAAUGAUUAUUAAGACGUGAAAGCUGACAGAGACCUCCUAUGGCGGUCUCCCCAGGACACGUGUACGUUUGCUACACUGACAGCACCCACGCUACUAGUAUACUUUUAUAAGGCCAGAGGUGAAUCUUCUUCCCACCAGUGCAUUGCAGGCUGUGUGAGCUUUAAAUAUCACCACCGUGCAUUGUGCCAGAUGCCAGAUAACCGAUACAGUCCUAAAUGAUGUGGCGGUUGGCAGUAACUAUGCUGCUCCAGGUAGUCCCUGCAGUCCCAAAGGGUCUGAGAGUGUAGUCAGCUGCCUGACUGAAAGGGGAGAUAACUGUGGAGGACAGACUAGAUGCUGUGAUGAUCAGUUCUGAAUUUUGUGUGUUUUAGGUGCACAGUGCCAUUGUCAAAGGCUCCAUAGUGUUACCUGGUCGGAAAAUACGUCUGUGUGCCCACUCACCUUCCUGUUUCUGAAAGUCAAAUGCAGGAGCCACUAGAAUUCAUUACAGUUGCCUUCUGCUCUGGAGCACUACAGACCUGGUGGCAAAAAUGAUAAGAAGGCAGCAUUGAAAAAAGAGCCUUAAUCUGUAAUGAUUUGUGCCUUUUUAUGCUAGACAUAGUCAGAGGGAAAGAGGAGGCACAUCUGAAAUUACAGAUCCAGAAUAUCUCAGUUGAGUCCUGGGUGACGAAUGUCAAUUUGUCACGAAAAAAAGAGCUUCACUGGAACAGCACUGGACCAGUAUUUGCGAUCCUGGGUCCAAACAUCCCAGACUGGGACUGUAUGCUUUAGUCCACCAAUAGCUUGUCUUCUUGAGGGUCCUUGCCAUCACCUCAUAUAUGUUUAGAGGUUCACUGGCCCUGAACUACUUUCAUUAAGAUGUCCUUGAAAUUUGCUUUUCAUUUCCCUAUGGCUUUUUUUCUUGUUUAUGGGAGGUUUUCUUGCUGAGCAUUGGUUGAUUGCGUUUGUUUAUGAUGACUCUUUACCACACAGCACCUGGUUUAGAGUUCCCUGUGUAAUUUGCUCAAUAAUCAACUUACAAAAUAGGUAUGUUUCUUCAGCAUAUUAUGUAGAUAAUGUCCAGUAAUUACUGUGUGGGUUGCUCCGACACAAAUGCAAGUAAUAGUAAUUUUGUUUUUUUUCUUUCCUACUCUGUCCCUCUUGCUCUGAGGAAACGCCUGCUAUUUUUGCAACUUGGUUUUGACUACUUUACUAUCCCUUCAUAUUGAAGUCAUGGUAAAUCAAGUAGUGAAGCAGACAUGAAAAGAGCAGUUUAGGAUGAGUGUGUCAUUGUAUCAACAAGAGUCGUAUGUGGGAAUUUCACAAGUUUGUUCGAUGCUGUAAAGAAGAAUUUCUUUUUCCUGUGGUAAAAGAUCAUUCCAAAGGAGUGCCUGUGUUCAGUGCAAGCUUUGUCUUUUAGGAGAAGAAAGGCACUGUUACUGCAUGUAUUUUUGAAGUACCACAGCAACCCUGGGCUACCUGAACAAGAAAGCUGUCAACUUUACCAGUAGUCUUGGCAAAAGAAUUGAGAAGCAGUUCUGCAAUAAUUAUCCUACCUGUUUAAUGUUACAGGCUGCAGUAUCAUGUUGCAUUUUCUUUAUUAAUGCUUCCAGAUGUCAGCUGGGCCAAGUUUUCAGGUCCUUUUCAUCUGGGAGCAGCACAAGAGUCUGGAGGGAACCCAGAAGAGAGCUGGAAACUGUUCAUCCAACAAUUUCAGAUUUAGGGUGAUGCUGUUGAAGCCCACCGCCAUGUGGACAGUGAGAUGCCUGUGUUACUAUGCGUUGCAGAGACCUGGAGAAUUUCUUUCUCGUCUGUUGAAAAGAAGAUUUUGAAUAACCAUAGCAACAGUAGAACCUGCUGUGAGUCUUACAGCAUGAAGUGUUGCAGAUGUCUGCUUCUGGGGAUCAAGGAGUCAGUCAAGGCUCUCCAGCCAGCUUGUUUCAGUCUCACCCUCACAGACUUCAUCACCUUGUACUCGCACAGAAGAAGAGGGGCUUGAAAUUCAGCACAUCCACCCCUUUCUUUUCAGGCUGUGAAGAUUUGAAGAUGUCACAAAGAAUUGACUGACGGUAAACACCAGUGAGAAGAAGGCAGUCAUGAGAAGUGAUCUAAAUUACCUGGAAAAUAAGGCCCAUUCAUGAGAGAGCUUCAGCUUGUAUCAUGAUGUAUAAAUAGAGACAUGAAGAUGUAAAACUAAAGAAAAACAAACUGAAUAAGGAAGACACUCAGCAAAUGUUCUCAUUAGUCACAUUCUAACGAAAAGUAAGUUGUCUGCUGCAGGGUGUUUAUUUUACCCUAGAAGAUAUUCAGAUAUUCCUAUUGCAAUUUCUAUGUUCCUUGAUCUGAUUACUGAGAUGAGAAGAUGAAAGUGAUGCAUUUGUCUUUAUCCAAGACUACUGCUGUACUUUUCAAGGACAACACUGGAUUUGUUAUAUAACUGGAUUUUUGACAUGCCUUUACUUAUAGGAAACACUCUUUCCAUAGCAGGAGUUUGCCUGCUUUCUCUGAUUGCAGAUAAAGCUUCAAGUCCAACUACACAUCCCACCCUGAAGCUGUGUGUACACCACUGCGGACAAACCAGGCCAGCUGGCUAAAUAAUUAAGCAUGAGCUAGUUGGUGAUGUGCACCUGGAAAUCAUUAGAUGCCUGGAGGUUACAUGUUCAUGAGUCACCUCUUAGAAUUUGGGGGUUAUGUGUUUGUUUUUUUGGGGUUUUGUUAGCAAGGUUCAAAGAAAGUGAUCUUUGAGAAGCUGAAGCAUAAUUCUUCUCUUCUGCCCAGGUACAAUUAGUUGUACUUAUUGGUAAUAGGAGUGCAGAUUAGAAGUUGACAGGGAUUGAAAAUGGAGAAAGCAACCUGGAUCAUUGUAUGUGAUCAAAUUUCUUCUGCAAAAUAACUUCUGUGGAAAUUGAAGAAAUAAUAAUACAAUUGAAUGAUGUAUCAGGGUUUCAUUCUUGUAGGUCACUCCAAAGAUGGAAAGAAAAAGUCUACAUGUUAUGGUACUUCAUACACGUCGUGGCCUCAUAACAGAGACAGAGUGAGAGCUAGUCCCUUGUUGUCAGUUUCUGAAUUUUUUUGCUCUUCCUGAUAUGCACAGCUGUAUGUUUUUCCACAGUGUAAGAUCUGGUAUGUUGCUUUGUCACAAUUUGAGGAUGGAAAAAUAUGAAACUAAUAUAGAGGUGAUCCAAUAAAGCUCUUCUGUUGGUCAGUAAA
Strigops habroptila (Kakapo) is the source of this 5732-nucleotide long non-coding RNA. RefSeq lists it as uncharacterized. The transcript has 10 exons. The record is from RefSeq and is a predicted model, not a curated record. NCBI's taxonomy places the organism in Eukaryota, Metazoa, Chordata, Aves, Psittaciformes, Psittacidae.